GCGGCUUCUCACUUCUCAGGCUAUCGCGGUUCCGCCUGCCUCUCGCCCUGAAGACCGCGUGUGGUGCUGAAUCGGGCGUCGUUGUGAUGGGCCUUUUGGGCUCGGCGGCCUCGGAAGCGCGUGGUCGUCCUCUUUCUAUCCUAAGGCCUUUUGGGCUCCAUCUCGAGGCCUUUUGGGCUCGGCGGCACGGCGCUUCCUCCCGCCUGCCGGCGUCGCGGCCUGGACAACGCGGCGACUAAGGGCGAAUCGGCGAUGCCUCGAACCAUCUCC
This 270-nucleotide long non-coding RNA is filed under the name Setaria italica (foxtail millet). RNAcentral's name for it is "long non-coding RNA (SITA_LNC001639)". Lineage: Eukaryota; Viridiplantae; Streptophyta; Magnoliopsida; Poales; Poaceae. The record is from RNAcentral.